UGGAGAAAGAUAGAAAAAAAUUAAACACAGCAGGCAUUUAAUGAAAGCACAGACUGUACUAGUUUCUUAAAGGUAUUUCUGGUUUGGUGGAGCUUUAUAUAGUUUAUAGUAAAAACACAUUUCUUAAAAUGUUCCUGUUGCAAGUCUACUGAUAAUAUCAAAGUACGGUUCAUGAUAAAUAUAGGGACUAUACUGUUCUGCAAAAGGAAAUUUAAAAAUAUGACUAUAGUUUGCUAUAUAUGGUGAUUAGAUUGUUACCUCCCAAAGAGAUUAUUGUGUCUAAAACGCUGUCAAAUUUCAAAAUGUGAUUUGAAAAUCAAUCAUUCAUGUGUCU
RNAcentral lists this long non-coding RNA (334 nucleotides) under Bos taurus (domestic cattle). Its description in RNAcentral is "long non-coding RNA NONBTAT011200". The record is from RNAcentral. Lineage: Eukaryota; Metazoa; Chordata; Mammalia; Artiodactyla; Bovidae.